GACGAACGCUGGCGGCGUGCUUAACACAUGCAAGUCGAACGGAAAGGCCCUGCUUUUGUGGGGUGCUCGAGUGGCGAACGGGUGAGUAACACGUGAGUAACCUGCCCUUGACUUUGGGAUAACUUCAGGAAACUGGGGCUAAUACCGGAUAGGAGCUCCUGCUGCUUGGGGGGGGUUGGAAAGUUUCGGCGGUUGGGGAUGGACUUGCGGCUUAUCAGCUUGUUGGUGGGGUAGUGGCUUACAAAGGCUUUGACGGGUAGCCGGCCUGAGAGGGUGACCGGCCACAUUGGGACUGAGAUACGGCCCAGACUCCUACGGGAGGCAGCAGUGGGGAAUAUUGCACAAUGGGCGGAAGCCUGAUGCAGCAACGCCGCGUGCGGGAUGACGGCCUUCGGGUUGUAAACCGCUUUCGCCUGUGACGAAGCGUGAGUGACGGUAAUGGGUAAAGAAGCACCGGCUAACUACGUG
RNAcentral lists this ribosomal RNA (468 nucleotides) under uncultured bacterium. RNAcentral's name for it is "partial 16S ribosomal RNA". It matches the Rfam family "Bacterial small subunit ribosomal RNA", at positions 28 to 507 of the family's 1533-position model. The record is from RNAcentral.